GAGAACCCCGUGAAGCCUUGGCUUGCCGCAAUGUGAUCGCUUUCAAAGAGUCGGGUUGUUUGGGAUUCAGCCCAAUCGGGAGGUAAAUUUCUUCUAAGCUAAUACUGGCGAGAGACCGAUAGCGAACAAGUCCGUGAGGGAAAGAUGAAAAGAACUUUGAAAAGAGAGUUAACAGUCCGUGAAAUUGUCAAAAGGGAAUGGCUUGAAACCAGUCAUGCUGUCUGGAAUUCAGCAGGCCACACCGGCCUGUCCACUUUCCAGAUGGCAGGUCAACGUCAGUUUUUCUUCGUGUCGAAAGGCCUUGGGAAGUAGCGAGCCUUCGGGCGCGUGUUUACCCCCUGGCACCUGGCAUGUGGGGAGGUAGCGAGCCUUCGGGCGCGUGUAUAGCCCCUGGCUCUGGCAURUGGGGGGACUGAGGCCGCAGGGCGCACUGGGUUAACCCGGUCAGGCGAAUACCUUUUGGCGGACUGCACGCAGGCCGUCAGAAGGCAUAAACCUUUGCCGGCUACACCUCUCCGUCCCUAGGACGUUGACGAAAUGGUUUUAAACCACCCGUCUUGAAACACGGACCAAGGAGUCUAACAUAUACGCGAGUAUUUGGGUGGAAACCCAUAUGCGAAAUGAAAGUGAUUCAGGUGGAUCCUCGGUGACCAUCGACCGGUCUGGAUAUUUUAAUUAUAGAUCUGAGUAAGAGCGUAUCUGUUGGGACCCGAAAGAUGGUGAACUAUGCCU
RNAcentral lists this ribosomal RNA (732 nucleotides) under Monoblepharis polymorpha. RNAcentral describes it as "eukaryotic LSU rRNA". It matches the Rfam family "Eukaryotic large subunit ribosomal RNA", at positions 214 to 838 of the family's 3401-position model. The record is from RNAcentral. Lineage: Eukaryota; Fungi; Monoblepharomycota; Monoblepharidomycetes; Monoblepharidales; Monoblepharidaceae.